GAAUCUUCGGCAAUGGACGAAAGUCUGACCGAGCAACGCCGCGUGAGUGAAGAAGGCCUUCGGGUCGUAAAACUCUGUUGCCAGAGAAGAAAGGCGUCUAGUUAACUGCUAGGCGAUUGACGGUAUCUGAGAAGAAAGCCCCGGCUAACUCCGUGCCAGCAGCCGCGGUAAUACGUAGGGGGCAAGCGUUGUCCGGAAUUAUUGGGCGUAAAGCGCGCGCAGGCGGUUUUUUAAGUCUGGUGUAUAACCUUGUGGCUCAACCAUAAGUGGCACCGGAAACUGGGAGACUUUGAGUGCAGGAGAGGAAAGUGGAAUUCCACGUGUAGCGGUGAAAUGCGUAGAGAUGUGGAGGAACACCAGUGGCGAAGGCGACUUUCUGGCCUGUAACUGACGCUGAGGCGCGAAAGCGUGGGGAGCAAACAGG
Molecule: ribosomal RNA, 424 nt
Filed under: uncultured bacterium
Lineage: Bacteria
Description: partial 16S ribosomal RNA
Rfam family: Bacterial small subunit ribosomal RNA
Source: RNAcentral